This 1209-nucleotide long non-coding RNA is filed under the name Papio anubis (olive baboon). Its description in RNAcentral is "lncRNA (ENSPANG00000044133.1)". The record is from RNAcentral. Lineage: Eukaryota; Metazoa; Chordata; Mammalia; Primates; Cercopithecidae.
AUGUGCUCCUCCAAGACUCAGCCACUUCCUUUGCCCUCUCUGGACCUCAGUGUCCAGGGUUGUGCAUUUAGGGGGCUCAGGUUUGGGCUCUGUGCCUAUGAGCCAGUCUAUGUGUGCACUGUCUGUCUGUCUGUCCGUCUGCCAGCAGCCUUCAGGCGCCAGGAGGGGAGGCAGCAGUGGAAGGUGGGGGCAGGGAAGGAGGUAGCGUUGACAAGUUCCAAUGUCUGGCUUUCCCUCCUGGAAACCCCGAGCUGGGGCUGGCCCCCCCUUCCCUUCCUGUCUCUCUCGCUCAAGCACGUCCCUUCUAAGAGCCCCUCUCUGCAGACACCCCCAGUGGAACCAAGCCCAGAUUUGCUGCCAAGAAGGCCGACAUUUCUUAGACUUGCCACGUUAAAGGGGCCUGCACAGGCACGCACUCAAAUCCCCCCCCCCCCAUGUCUUCCGCCUGUGCACAUUGAGGCGACCCGAAACACACAAAGACACGGUUGGACACAGCGGCCACCUGUGCACACAGGAGGUAGCACAUGGAGCGCAUCUGACCCCGGGCUCACAGACAAGUACAAACACAGCCAUGGACUCCCUCCGCCCUCCUCCAUUCAGCCUGCCACAGACCCAAGCACGCAGUUUCCAGCACACCGCGCUCACAGACACGCACAAACGCAGUCACACGCAGGGCCUUGCCACACAGAGAAACAAGUGCAAACCUGUAGCACAGCACCGUCACCAUCACCACCACCACUGCCGCCACCGCCCUGUGUAAAUGCAACCACAGAAACACAAUGCCUGUGCUGCCUGUUCCCUGUACACACAGCCAAAGCAUAUACAGUCACACAGUGUUCCCCUGAGUCACUCUCAACAACCACACAGACAAAGUCUGUUGGGCACAGAAGCGCCCAUACCUACCCUCUGGACAUUUGGACUGGCCCACACCACCAGUACAGUGCCUUCCUGGGCACGAGACAUGCACAAAAUCCCAGCCACCUGCAGCGUUCCCUUCUGCACACACACUGUCCCUUGCACAUACACAGACAAGCUCAAACCCACAGUUAUGCUAUUAUCCUCUUGUACACCAUAAAAAUCACAGGGGCUCCCAACACACCCAGACGUGACAUACACAAACUCAGGCACACGUACCAACUCUUUUGUGCAUACAAAUAUUUAUUGGCACUGACAUGGUGCCCAUCCGCUACCAUGUGCACACACUGCUAG